Molecule: long non-coding RNA, 647 nt
Filed under: Brassica rapa (field mustard)
Lineage: Eukaryota; Viridiplantae; Streptophyta; Magnoliopsida; Brassicales; Brassicaceae
Description: long non-coding RNA (BRAP_LNC001361)
Source: RNAcentral
AAACAUGCAUAUCCAAAACCAAAAGCAUUCAAAUGGCUUCAAAACUUAGAAAAGCUUCAAAAAUUAGGUAAGAGCUUUAAGCAACAAAAAAAAAGCUUUAAGCAACAAAAAAAGUUUUCAAUAGGUAAGAGCUUUAACCAAUAAGAGGUUACCAAAUGAAGAAAAAUCAGACAUAGAGACUUACCACAAUGCUCACAUCUGUUAUGAAAGAUGAGACAUGGGAGAAGACGCUGGCAGAAGACUUUCAGGGAAGUCCUCUAGUGCAUUAUGUUAAAAAAAAAUUCUAAGAAGACUUAUUUGGAAGUCUUCGAAAGCCUAACACAGAUCUGAAAACCAUGCAUAUCAAAAGCAUUCAAAUGGUAUCAAAACAGAGAAAAGCUUCAAAAAUAAGGUAAGAGAUUUAACCAACAAAAAAAAAAUUUCAAAAAGUAAGAGCUUUAAGCAACAAAACGUUACCAAACGAAGAAACAUGAUUUAUAGAUCUACCUUUAAAGGAAUGGAAGAUGAGAACCAUGUCAUGAAAAACCUUCAAAAACAAAAUAAAUCAGUAAGAAAAACAUGAAACAAAAAUUAGAAAUUGAUAUAAAGUUUGGUGUUUUCAAGUUCAAAAAAAUUAAAGCGAGGUUUGAGAGUUUUAGAGUGAGGAA